AAGGGAGACCUAAUUCAGGUAUGGGACGAAAAAAAAGUAGUCGCUACCAAGAAUCAAUCCCAAAAGGUCGGAGCGAGGUAUGAGGCUUUCAAACUAGGUUCUGGGUUCAAACAAGACCUGAAUCAGGAACAAGGGCUAUUAGCUCAGGUGGUUAGAGCGCACCCCUGAUAAGGGUGAGGUCCCUGGUUCGAGUCCAGGAUGGCCCACCUGCACAGGUGGCAAAAACAAGAGAAGCGAGGAAUCAGCACCUUAUCUUAUCUAUAUAUAUAUAGGAGAGAAUGCUGGCUCUGAGUAAAGAGUCCAGAGGAACCUUGAAAACUGCAUAGAGCUAGGUGAAAAAGCCAAAAAAGAAGACCGCAAGGUCAAGCUAAUAAGGGCUAACGGUGGAUACCUAGGCAC
Molecule: transfer RNA, 399 nt
Filed under: uncultured Microcystis sp.
Lineage: Bacteria; Bacillati; Cyanobacteriota; Cyanophyceae; Chroococcales; Microcystaceae
Description: partial contains 16S-23S ribosomal RNA intergenic spacer, and 23S ribosomal RNA
Rfam family: tRNA (bases 133-206)
Source: RNAcentral